GAAUUCUGUGUGCGUGCUGCCUCUCUGCAGGUUAUAGUGUGGUUUUGUUGGGUCUUGGGUGUUUUAAACCUGGAAUAAUUGUCAGAUGGGCGAUCUCUCUUGAUAAGAGAUACCUCUGGGUGAUUCACUUGGCUUCUGCUUCUCAAGGAACUCUAAAGGGAAUAAAAUAACCCUAAAGUAUGGAUUAUCUCUGCUGUUGGAGUUUUGAAAUCUCAGGACCCAAGAUGGAACAUGGGGCAAAAACUGAUGCUGUGCUCCAGAAAUCUGAACUUAAGUCCAAGUGCCAGCAUGGACUUUUACCUCUAUGGGACUUAAUGACAACUUGUCUAGAACUUGUGGCAACAACUAGCAACUAUCCUUAA
Molecule: long non-coding RNA, 362 nt
Filed under: Zonotrichia albicollis (white-throated sparrow)
Lineage: Eukaryota; Metazoa; Chordata; Aves; Passeriformes; Passerellidae
Description: lncRNA (ENSZALG00000014205.1)
Source: RNAcentral